This 526-nucleotide ribosomal RNA is filed under the name uncultured bacterium. RNAcentral's name for it is "bacterial SSU rRNA". It matches the Rfam family "Bacterial small subunit ribosomal RNA", at positions 777 to 1300 of the family's 1533-position model. The record is from RNAcentral.
AAUAGAUACCCGGGUAGUCCACGCCGUAAACGAUGAGUGCUAAGUGUUAGAGGGUUUCCGCCCUUUAGUGCUGCAGCUAACGCAUUAAGCACUCCGCCUGGGGAGUACGGUCGCAAGACUGAAACUCAAAGGAAUUGACGGGGGGCCCGCACAAGCGGUGGAGCAUGUGGUUUAAUUCGAAGCAACGCGAAGAACCUUACCAAGUCUUGACAUCCCACUGACCGGUAUAGAGAUAUACCUUUCCCUUCGGGGACAGUGGUGACAGGUGGUGCAUGGUUGUCGUCAGCUCGUGUCGUGAGAUGUUGGGUUAAGUCCCGCAACGAGCGCAACCCUUGAUCUUAGUUGCCAGCAUUUAGUUGGGCACUCUAAGGUGACUGCCGGUGACAAACCGGAGGAAGGUGGGGAUGACGUCAAAUCAUCAUGCCCCUUAUGACCUGGGCUACACACGCGCUACAAUGGAUGGUACAAAGGGCUGCAAGACUGCGAAGUCAAGCCAAUCCCAUAAAACCAUUCUCAGUUCGGAUUG